RNAcentral lists this ribosomal RNA (406 nucleotides) under uncultured bacterium. RNAcentral describes it as "partial 16S ribosomal RNA". It matches the Rfam family "Bacterial small subunit ribosomal RNA", at positions 28 to 526 of the family's 1533-position model. The record is from RNAcentral.
AUUGAACGCUGGCGGCAGGCCUAACACAUGCAAGUCGCGCGAGCGGCGGACGGGUGAGUAAUGUCUGGGAAACUGCCUGAUGGAGGGGGAUAACUACUGGAAACGGUAGCUACUACCGCAUACCAUCAGAUGUGCCCAGAUGGGAUUGGCUAGUAGGGGGGGGAACGGCUCACCUAGGCGACGAUCCCUAGCUGGUCUGAGCGGCUGACCAGCCACACUGGAACUUGGACACGGUCCAGACUCCUACGGGUGGCGGCGUGGGGGCAUAUUGCACAAUGGGCGCAAGCCUGAUGCAGCCAUGCCGCGUGUGUGAAGGAGGCCUUCGGGUUGUAAAGCACUUUCAGCGGGGAGGCGUUACCCGCAGAAGAAGCACCGGCUAACUCCGUGCCAGCAGCCGCGGUAAUUC